RNAcentral lists this ribosomal RNA (255 nucleotides) under uncultured bacterium. Its description in RNAcentral is "partial 16S ribosomal RNA". It matches the Rfam family "Bacterial small subunit ribosomal RNA", at positions 524 to 776 of the family's 1533-position model. The record is from RNAcentral.
UACGGGGGAUGCAAGCGUUAUCCGGAAUGAUUGGGCGUAAAGCGUUUGAACAGGUGGUUUAAAAAGUCGAUUGUUAAAACCCAAGGCUUAACCUUGGACUGGCAAUGGAAACUUUUAGACUAGAGUAUGGUAGAGGUAGAUGGAAUUACCGGUGUAACGGUGAAAUGUGCAGAUAUCGGUAAGAACCCCAAAGGCGAAAGCAAUCUACUGGGCCAAAACGGACACUUAAGAACGAAAGCUAGGGGAGCGAAUAGG